UGGGGAAUAUUGCACAAUGGGCGCAAGCCUGAUGCAGCCAUGCCGCGUGUGUGAAGAAGGCCUUCGGGUUGUAAAGCACUUUCAGCGGGGAGGAAGGCGAUAAGGUUAAUAACCUCAUCGAUUGACGUUACCCGCAGAAGAAGCACCGGCUAACUCCGUGCCAGCAGCCGCGGUAAUACGGAGGGUGCAAGCGUUAAUCGGAAUUACUGGGCGUAAAGCGCACGCAGGCGGUCUGUCAAGUCGGAUGUGAAAUCCCCGGGCUCAACCUGGGAACUGCAUUCGAAACUGGCAGGCUAGAGUCUUGUAGAGGGGGGUAGAAUUCCAGGUGUAGCAAUGAAAUGCGUAGAGAUCUGGAGGAAUACCGGUGGCGAAGGCGGCCCCCUGGACAAAGACUGACGCUCAGGUGCGAAAGCGUGGGGAGCAAACAGG
This 429-nucleotide ribosomal RNA is filed under the name Chloroflexota bacterium. RNAcentral describes it as "Chloroflexi bacterium partial 16S ribosomal RNA". It matches the Rfam family "Bacterial small subunit ribosomal RNA", at positions 355 to 776 of the family's 1533-position model. The record is from RNAcentral. Lineage: Bacteria; Bacillati; Chloroflexota.